AUGCCAAAUGAAUAUCCUGUAGUCUUGACCUCCAUGUGGAAUAUUUCUGUGAAAAUACGAAAAAAUUUCCAGCUAGUAAAUAGAUUCUUUCCUAUUAAUAUUGGAGAAAAACCUGUUUGUUGCUGGCAGCCUUCUCUUGGAGGAAUGUGAUGCAGAGCACAGAUAAAAGCACGAGCAUCUGUUAAGAUGAUUGGCAUUAUCCUGACAACAGUGUAAAAAUCAUCUGCUUGGGAUGGCAAGCAGGCACAAGACAAACAAAAUCAACAUCAGCUUCAAUUUACAGUGAGUAUGAUAAAGCAUAUGGUGUAAUUCAAGGAGGCUGUGCAAAGCUUGUUGCUU
This 339-nucleotide long non-coding RNA is filed under the name Cairina moschata (Muscovy duck). Its description in RNAcentral is "domestica (muscovy Duck (domestic type)) lncRNA (ENSCMMG00000008269.1)". Lineage: Eukaryota; Metazoa; Chordata; Aves; Anseriformes; Anatidae. The record is from RNAcentral.